RNAcentral lists this small nuclear RNA (21 nucleotides) under Arabidopsis thaliana (thale cress). RNAcentral's name for it is "snRNA_14760". The record is from RNAcentral. Lineage: Eukaryota; Viridiplantae; Streptophyta; Magnoliopsida; Brassicales; Brassicaceae.
ACUUUGAAGGCCGAAGAGGGG